This 253-nucleotide ribosomal RNA is filed under the name uncultured bacterium. RNAcentral describes it as "partial 16S ribosomal RNA". It matches the Rfam family "Bacterial small subunit ribosomal RNA", at positions 526 to 779 of the family's 1533-position model. The record is from RNAcentral.
CGUAUGGUGCAAGCGUUAUCCGGAUUUACUGGGUGUAAAGGGUGAGUAGGCGGUCAUGCAAGUCAUAUGUGAAAUGUCAGGGCUUAACCUUGGCGCUGCAUAAGAAACUGUAUGACUAGAGUGCAGGAGAGGUAAGCGGAAUUCCUAGUGUAGCGGUGAAAUGCGUAGAUAUUAGGAAGAACACCGGUGGCGAAGGCGGCUUACUGGACUGUUACUGACGCUGAGUCACGAAAGCGUGGGAGCAAACAGGAUU